UUUAAGUUAAUCUAAUUUGAAAAGGAACUCACACACUCCAAGAAGAAACAAUCUAACACGUAUUGCGAAUUGAAAAAAGGAAAAAUUACAAAAUCAUGUUACCUCAAGUCUUUCCUUCACCGUAUUGCUCCUGACUUGCAUUAAUGUGGUAUCUUCAGGACAUUUGCUGCUAAGCUUCACCAGUCACAGCAGGUGUGUUUCUCUUGAGCACUGCAUCUGACCCCACUCAUGGAAAAAUGUUUGUUGAAUGAGUCAGUGAGUGAGGAGGCAGCUGAAUAUCUCCAUUCCAGUUGGAAGCAAGGAGCUGAAAGGGGAGGUGUGAAUAAAGAGGUCUAUAAAAGUCUCCAAGGAGCCAGAAGGACCUGAGUCAUGAGAGCUGUCAUCAUCACUGCGAUCCUCUGUGAGGUCAGAGCAGAUGGCUCUGCCAGCAGUGUCUGGAGCUGGUGAGUCAGAACCUCAGUCUGAGAACACCAUCUUGCCACCCUUAGCCAGAGUCUCUACAGGUGUACAGGCCAUGAUCACCCAGUUUUCCUUUUCCUUCUUUGCAGAAGAACAGAAUUCAGGCUGUGCUUUGGCCUGUAAAUGCAAUUUUGUUUUAUCUUCAUCUCAAACAUUUUGAUUUCUGUUUAGACCUAUGAACUUUACCAAUGUUUAUAGGUAUUUCUUAACCAAGAAGUGUUUGUAAAAUACAGAACAGCUAACUCAUCAGGAUUUUAUUUAAUGACAUUUUCAAUAUUCAGUUUUGUGCCCAGAAAUUGUAUUUCAUGUCAUUCAUGGUUUUGUGAUCUUAUUACUUUGACUCCCUUUAAAAAGCUUAAGAAAAUAGAAGACCUCAACCAACAAAUCACAAGCAAAGAGAUCCAAUCAUUCAUCAAAAAGCUUCCCACAAAUAAAUGCCC
Choloepus didactylus (southern two-toed sloth) is the source of this 899-nucleotide long non-coding RNA. RefSeq lists it as uncharacterized. Lineage: Eukaryota; Metazoa; Chordata; Mammalia; Pilosa; Megalonychidae. The record is from RefSeq and is a predicted model, not a curated record. The transcript has 3 exons.